GACGAACGCUGGCGGCGUGCUUAACACAUGCAAGUCGAGCGAUGAAGCUCCUUCGGGAGUGGAUUAGCGGCGGACGGGUGAGUAACACGUGGGUAACCUGCCUCAUAGAGGGGAAUAGCCUUCCGAAAGCAAGAUUAAUACCGCAUAAGAUUGUAGUACCGCAUGGUAUAGCAAUUAAAGGAGUAAUCCGCUAUGAGAUGGACCCGCGUCGCAUUAGCUAGUUGGUGAGGUAACGGCUCACCAAGGCGACGAUGCGUAGCCGACCUGAGAGGGUGAUCGGCCACAUCGGGACUGAGACACGGCCCAGACUCCUACGGGAGGCAGCAGUGGGGAAUAUUGCGCAAUGGGGGAAACCCUGACGCAGCAACGCCGCGUGAAGGAUGAAGGCUUUCGGGUUGUAAAGUUCUUUAGUCGGGGACGAAAUAAUGACGGUACCCGAAGAAUAAGCCACGGCUAACUACGUGCCAGCAGCCGCGGUAA
This 480-nucleotide ribosomal RNA is filed under the name uncultured bacterium. Its description in RNAcentral is "partial 16S ribosomal RNA". It matches the Rfam family "Bacterial small subunit ribosomal RNA", at positions 28 to 523 of the family's 1533-position model. The record is from RNAcentral.